RNAcentral lists this ribosomal RNA (380 nucleotides) under uncultured bacterium. Its description in RNAcentral is "bacterial SSU rRNA". It matches the Rfam family "Bacterial small subunit ribosomal RNA", at positions 355 to 726 of the family's 1533-position model. The record is from RNAcentral.
UGGGGAAUAUUGGACAAUGGGCGCAAGCCUGACGCAGCAACGCCGCGUGAGUGAUGAAGGCCUUCGGGUCGUAAAGCUCUGUCGGAGGUAACGAAUGCUCUUGAGGUUAACAGCCUCGGGAGGUGACGGUACCCUCAAAGGAAGCACCGGCUAACUCUGUGCCAGCAGCCGCGGUAAUACGUAGGGACCAAGCGUUGUUCGGAUUUACUGGGCGUAAAGGGCGCGUAGGCGGCAUGACAAGUCACUUGUGAAAUCUCUGGGCUUAACCCAGAACGGCCAAGUGAUACUGUCGCGCUAGAGUGCAGAAGGGGCAAUCGGAAUUCUUGGUGUAGCGGUGAAAUGCGUAGAUAUCAAGAGGAACACCUGAGGUGAAGACGGUU